ACGUAGGGGGCAAGCGUUGUCCGGAUUUAUUGGGCGUAAAGAGCGUGUAGGCGGUUUGGUAGGUCCGCUGUGAAAACUCGAGGCUCAACCUCGAGACGCCGGUGGAAACCAUCAGGCUAGAGUCCGGAAGAGGAGAGUGGAAUUCCUGGUGUAGCGGUGAAAUGCGCAGAUAUCAGGAAGAACACCCGUGGCUAAGGCGGCUCUCUAGUACGGUACUGACGCUGAGACGCGAAAGCGUGGGGAGCGAACAGGA
Molecule: ribosomal RNA, 253 nt
Filed under: uncultured prokaryote
Description: partial 16S ribosomal RNA
Rfam family: Bacterial small subunit ribosomal RNA
Source: RNAcentral